AACGAACGCUGGCGGCAUGCCUUACACAUGCAAGUCGAACGAUACCUUCUCUUCUAGUGGCUCCCGGUUGCGUACCGCUUGGUAAUCUGCCCUUAGGUUCCGAAUCACUCCCCGAAAGGGGUCCUAAUCCCUGCUAAUAUCUCCUGCCCACAGAUUUAUCGCCUUUGGGUGGGGCCGCCUUGGCUUAGCUAGUUGGUAGGGUAAAAGCCUACCAAGGCGACGAUCCAUAGCUGUUCAGAGAGGAUGAUCUGCCACACUGGGACUGAGACACGGCCCAGACUCCUACGGGAGGCAGCAGUGGGGAAUACAGGAAAAUGGGGGAAAGACUGAAGCAGCAAUGGCGCGAGAGUGAUGAAGGACUUAGGGUUGUAAAGCUCUUUAAUACGGGAUGAUAAUGACAGUACCGGGAGAAUAAGCACCGGCUAACUACGUG
Molecule: ribosomal RNA, 433 nt
Filed under: uncultured bacterium
Lineage: Bacteria
Description: partial 16S ribosomal RNA
Rfam family: Bacterial small subunit ribosomal RNA
Source: RNAcentral